Molecule: non-coding RNA, 50 nt
Filed under: unclassified sequences
Description: chromate-resist RNA
Rfam family: chrB-b RNA
Source: RNAcentral
CGGGGAUUUCGGCAGCCUCCCCGUCAGAUGGAUCGCCAUCCAAGCGCUGC